AUGGGAGUCAGUUUUUACCCAAACACCAUCGUAGUCACCAAAAUGUGUAAAGCCUUUCCAAAACACAUCUAUGUCUUGAAUGUUUGCAUGCAUGUUCAAGACACCAAAUGAGAAAAAUCCACCAAAUCUGAAGAAGAAAUAACUAGUAUAACCAGUGUUUCAAGCUGUCUAAAAAUCAAAUAUGGGUCAAUAAACAAUAAAACAUAAAAAUAAUGUAUUUAUGUUUUAGAAUGAAAUACUAAUGUAUUUUUAAAAAUGAAAUAUAUAAUGUGUCAUCUUGUAGAGCACAGAUUCACUGCUGUAAUAUCAUAAUGUUGUAUAUUUUAAUACACGCUGGUCAAAAUGUCUAAAGAACAUCCGCUGAAACAAACGUGUGAAAUGGUUGUUUUUUCUACAUCUGUUUCUUUCUGAGCCAAGCCCUGAUGGAGGCCGCUCUCCCGCGGCAUGCUGGGAGUUUUCAGUGCAACCUGAGAGUGUGACGAGGCAACCGCACGCUAGAGACACACCGGGACUGUCAUCGACGCGAGCCCAGAGUUUGACGAACUGUUUCCCUCUUUUCCAGGCCCGGCCCGUUCCAGAGCUCCGGCCGUCUGAAUGGAGGCUUGUGUUUGUCCCAGACCCGCGCCUCUCUCUCGGGAAACUUCACACGCGUCUAAAUCACAGCCAUAACCAAGCAGCUGAUGCCAUUAAAAAUGAAACCCUUCAUCUCAUGGCGGCGGGGGGUGAAGGAAAAACAGCGUGAGCGACGAAUGACAAGAAAAUCCCAUCACGGUGUAUCAGCAGUUGAGCCACGCUUUCCCAUAAUGCACUGGGACAUGACUGAACGGAUGAUUCAGUUAUUGGCUUUUACAGCUUUUUAAAAUUUCAACAUGAACUUAUUGCCAUCUGAUGUCAUUUAAACUCAUUUUCUUAUUAUUGUCAUGUCAAGCAUCUAAUAUUUAGAAGCAACAGAUUGAUUGUUUCCUCAUUUCAUGAUUUGCACAACAAAAAUACAAUUAAAUAUUCCCUAAAAACACUAUAAAAGGCAAGGCAAGUUUAUUUAUAUAGCAC
This is a long non-coding RNA of Cyprinus carpio (common carp), 1050 nucleotides long. Lineage: Eukaryota; Metazoa; Chordata; Actinopteri; Cypriniformes; Cyprinidae. The record is from Ensembl.